UACGAAGGGGGCUAGCGUUGCUCGGAAUCACUGGGCGUAAAGGGUGCGUAGGCGGAUAGUUCAGUCGGGGGUGAAAGCCCGGGGCUCAACCUCGGAACUGCCUUCGAUACUGGCUAUCUUGAGUACGGGAGAGGUGUGUGGAACUCCGAGUGUAGAGGUGAAAUUCGUAGAUAUUCGGAAGAACACCAGUGGCGAAGGCGACACACUGGCCCGUUACUGACGCUGAGGCGCGAAAGCGUGGGGAGCAAACAGG
This 253-nucleotide ribosomal RNA is filed under the name uncultured bacterium. Its description in RNAcentral is "partial 16S ribosomal RNA". It matches the Rfam family "Bacterial small subunit ribosomal RNA", at positions 524 to 776 of the family's 1533-position model. The record is from RNAcentral.